AUGUCCUCCUCAAGCUCCCGCGCCACCUCGUGGAUGCAGAGCCGGGCGCGUGUGGACAUGCCUGUCUUCGUCUGUCCACGGUGCCGGUCGGGCGUUGUUCGGAGGGUUUCUCACACACCGAGGAACCAGAAUCGUCCGUUCUACGUGUGCAUCGAGAAUGGGGUGGCAUGCUUCUUUCUUUGGGUCGAUGCUCUGGCCAAGACUCUGAUGAAUGAACUACAAGAAGAGCAUGAAGAAUGGUUGUGCAUGCUGCCAUGAACGACAGUGGCUGCAGCAUCCUAA
RNAcentral lists this ribosomal RNA (282 nucleotides) under Triticum aestivum (bread wheat). RNAcentral's name for it is "partial small subunit ribosomal RNA". Lineage: Eukaryota; Viridiplantae; Streptophyta; Magnoliopsida; Poales; Poaceae. The record is from RNAcentral.